RNAcentral lists this ribosomal RNA (618 nucleotides) under uncultured bacterium. RNAcentral describes it as "bacterial SSU rRNA". It matches the Rfam family "Bacterial small subunit ribosomal RNA", at positions 338 to 954 of the family's 1533-position model. The record is from RNAcentral.
CCUACGGGAGGCAGCAGUGGGGAAUUUUGGACAAUGGGCGCAAGCCUGAUCCAGCCAUGCCGCGUGCAGGAUGAAGGCCUUCGGGUUGUAAACUGCUUUUGUACGGAACGAAAAGGUUUGGCCUAAUAAGCUGAGCUCAUGACGGUACCGUAAGAAUAAGCACCGGCUAACUACGUGCCAGCAGCCGCGGUAAUACGUAGGGUGCGAGCGUUAAUCGGAAUUACUGGGCGUAAAGCGUGCGCAGGCGGUUAUGUAAGACAGAUGUGAAAUCCCCGGGCUCAACCUGGGAACUGCAUUAGUGACUGCAUAGCUGGAGUACGGCAGAGGGGGAUGGAAUUCCGCGUGUAGCAGUGAAAUGCGUAGAUAUGCGGAGGAACACCGAUGGCGAAGGCAAUCCCCUGGGCCUGUACUGACGCUCAUGCACGAAAGCGUGGGGAGCAAACAGGAUUAGAUGCCCUGGUAGUCCACGCCCUAAACGAUGUCAACUGGUUGUUGGGUCUUCACUGACUCAGUAACGAAGCUAACGCGUGAAGUUGACCGCCUGGGGAUACGGCCGCAAGGUUGAAACUCAAAGGAUUGACGGCGNGAGAGNGCGACGGACGACGACGAGGGAGGAGG